RNAcentral lists this ribosomal RNA (548 nucleotides) under uncultured eukaryote. RNAcentral describes it as "bacterial SSU rRNA". It matches the Rfam family "Eukaryotic small subunit ribosomal RNA", at positions 21 to 549 of the family's 1831-position model. The record is from RNAcentral.
UAGUCAUAUGCUUGUCUUAAAGACUAAGCCAUGCAUGUCUAAGUAUAAGCACUUGUACAGCAAAACUGCGAAUGGCUCAUUAAAUCAGUUAUAAUUUAUUUGAUGGUAAUUACCACUUGGAUAACCAUGGUAAAACUAGAGCUAAUACAUGCGUAAAAACCUGACUGGGAACGGAAAGGUUGUAUUUAUUAGAUACAAAACCAAUACCUUGGUGAGGGCAACUUUAUCAGGGUUUUAAUUGGUGAUCCAUAGUAAUUAAACUAAUCAUAGAGUCUUUGUACUGACGAUAGUUCAUUCAAAUAUCUGCCCUAUCAACUUUCGAUGGUAGUAUAGAGGACUACCAUGGUGGUAACGGGUAACGGAGAAUCAGGGUUUGAUUUCGGAGAAGGAGCCUGAGAAACGGCUACUACUUCCAAGGAAGGCAGCAGGCGCACAAAUUACCCAAUCCCAAUACGGGGAGGUAGUGACAAUAAAUAACAAUAUUGGAUUUUAUAAUAAAUCUAAUAAUUGGAAUAAGUACAAUCUAAACCCCUUAACGAGUAUCAAUU